This 452-nucleotide ribosomal RNA is filed under the name uncultured bacterium. RNAcentral's name for it is "partial 16S ribosomal RNA". It matches the Rfam family "Bacterial small subunit ribosomal RNA", at positions 28 to 523 of the family's 1533-position model. The record is from RNAcentral.
GAUGAACGCUGGCGGCGUGCCUAAUACGUGCAAGUCGAGCGGUAACACUUCGGGUGACGAGCGGCGGACGGCUGAGUAACACGUAGGAACGUACCCCAAACUGAGGAAUAAGCACCGGAAACGGUGUCUAAUACCGCAUGUGGUCUUCGGAUUAAAGCUUCGGCGGUUUGGGAACGGCCUGCGCAUGAUUAGCUUGUUGGUGAGGUAAUAGCUCACCAAGGCGACGAUCAUUAGCGGGUCUAAGAGGAUGAUCAGCCAGACUGGGACUGAGAACGGCCCAGACUCCUACGGGAGGCAGCAGUAGGGAAUCUUCCACAAUGGGCGAAAGCCUGAUGGAGCAACGCCGCGUGCAGGACGAAGGCCUUCGGGUCGUAAACUGCUUUUAUUGGUGACGAUUAUGACGGUAGCCAAUGAAUAAGGAUCGGCUAACUCCGUGCCAGCCGCCGCAGUAA